CACCAGGUUGAUUCUGCCUGACGUGGAUGCUAGUUUGCGAGACUAAGCCAUGCAUGCUUGCGAAGUGCGUUGUGUGCGGAGCGGCAGACGGCUCAGUAAUACUGCGAUGAUUUGUUCGGGGAGGCCGUGUAGCCGCGGGAAACUGUGGGUAGGCGGCUGGGCUGCACUGGGUUGCUGGGGCGGUGUCUGAGUAAGUUGCAGCCCUAUUAGCUGGUAGCUAGGGUAAUGGCCUAGCUAGGCGAUGAUGGGAGACGGGGAAUUUGGGUUUGGUUCCGGAGAGGGAGCCUGAGAGAUGGCUACUACGUCCAAGGACGGCAGCAGGCGCGGAACUUGCCGAAUCCUUUUGGGAGGCAGUUAGCAAGCGUUGGGUUUGUUUGGAAUUGCAAAGAGAUUCCUUGAGAUUGGAGGGCAAGUCGGGUGCCAGCAGCCGCGGUAAUACCUGCUCCAAGAGUGUCUAUGGUGGAUGCUGCAGUUAAAAGGUUCGUAGUUGUGUUGCUUGCGCAUGUUUUGUGUGCCUGUGUGUGUGGCGGGCUGUGGAUGUGUGCGGCGAUGUGCGCAACAGACGGGGGGCACUGGAUAGUUGGGCGAGAGGUGAAAUGCGACGACCCUGACUGGACAGACGGAGGCGAAGGCGGUGCUCUUGGAUGGAUGUGAGGAUCAAGAACGAAGGCUGGAGGAUCGAAAUCGAUUAGAUACCGUUUUAGUUCCAGCAGUAAACGAUGCCGACUGGAUGGUGUGUGUUGCACUGUGCGCGAGAAAUCUGUGAGUGUGUGGGCUCUGGGGAUAGUAUGAUCGCAAGAGGGAAACUUAAAGAGAUU
This 818-nucleotide ribosomal RNA is filed under the name Microsporidium sp. BSEI2 SEI. RNAcentral's name for it is "SSU rRNA". It matches the Rfam family "Microsporidia small subunit ribosomal RNA", at positions 1 to 788 of the family's 1311-position model. The record is from RNAcentral. Lineage: Eukaryota; Fungi; Microsporidia.